AAACCUUUUCAUUUUUGGGAGUAGUUGAUUUUCGUAGAAACAUCUAAAUGUUGAAGCUUUAAUAUCUUGUAAUAGUUCAAUUUGCUAUGGAAGACUACUUUCAAUGUUGUGAUAUUAUCUGUUGGUGGUUAAUUCUGUGUAGCUAUUAUGCUCUGUUUAUACCUUUCUGCUGUUACUGUGUUUACGUUUAAUUUGGCUAGAUGACUGCCAGAGAUGAUGAUAUUGUUGCACUUGUAAGAUUGUCUCAAAACAUGUUGAGAGUAGUCCAUAGUACUCCAGUUUUAGUAUUCUUUUUGAAGCAAUAAUGUGAUUGGGCCUAACAGUUUCCAAUACUAACUUACUAAGCAAUCAUUUAUCCCCAUAAAUUGAUGAAAAUAAAGUUGUAUGUUUCAUUGGUCCAUGAACAGGUUUAGGGAAAUCAUGAGAUGGGCUGGGCACCAGUGCAAGACUAUUCUUACUAAUGGACCACUUUCUUCCACGUACAAUCAACUUGCUUUUAGUUUCUUCUAUAUUACACUAAAGUGUUAUAUCCUUUUACUUAUUUAUCAAAUACCAUAAAAUAAAAUAAGUUUUUUUUAAAAAAAAACCCUUAUAUUAUUUUUGCUAAAGAACACAGCCAGUGUGUUUGGGAAGGGGCCAAUUACAGUGGCGGACUCAAGAUUUUUGUUCAGGGGGUUCGAAAAAUAAAAGUAUAAACCUGUAAAUAAGCCUUUAGAAAUGGGA
This 723-nucleotide long non-coding RNA is filed under the name Solanum tuberosum (potato). Its description in RNAcentral is "long non-coding RNA (STUB_LNC010244)". The record is from RNAcentral. Lineage: Eukaryota; Viridiplantae; Streptophyta; Magnoliopsida; Solanales; Solanaceae.